UCCUUUGUGGCGCAAUUGGCUAGCGCGUCUGACUGUUAAUCAGGAGGUUGGAAGUUCGAGCCUUCCCGAAGGAG
RNAcentral lists this transfer RNA (74 nucleotides) under Trichoderma gamsii. It matches the Rfam family "tRNA". Rfam says of the family: Transfer RNA (tRNA) molecules are approximately 80 nucleotides in length. The record is from Rfam by way of RNAcentral. Lineage: Eukaryota; Fungi; Ascomycota; Sordariomycetes; Hypocreales; Hypocreaceae.